Molecule: long non-coding RNA, 237 nt
Filed under: Setaria viridis
Lineage: Eukaryota; Viridiplantae; Streptophyta; Magnoliopsida; Poales; Poaceae
Description: long non-coding RNA (SVIR_LNC008712)
Source: RNAcentral
ACAAAUAUGUCUUCCGUACCGGGUCAGAAAUGAGCGGCACAAAUAAUAAACUAUACGUACCAACUCUCUUAUCCGAGCCGACACAAAUAUGUCAUUUGUACCGGGUCAGAAAUGAGCGGCACAAAUAAUAAACUAUUCGUACCGACUCUCUUAUCCGUGCUGACCUGCCACUUGGCACCUAAAAUAACCCCAUAUUCGCAUAUGUGUUGUAUUUUGGACCAUAUUGCAAAAUCAUAG